GGGCGGGGUGCCGCGCAGGCGCGAUGGGCUGCUCGCGGGGCACAGGGCCCCCUCUUGGGAGAGGACCUGACUAAAGGCUCCUCCGCUGUGCAACCGUUUGCUGCAAGAAUCGCCGCCGUCGUAAUAAAGACCGGAAGCUGAGGUUUUUAUCCGUUAGUAGCCGGUUGACUGAAGACUCAGCCUCACACUUAGGUGGUGAGGCAGUGGCCCUCGGACGGAACCAGGCGUGAGUCUGUCACCUGUUCGUCUAUCAUCCCUCAGUUCCCCAAAAAGCUUGAGCCCACGGUGCUUAACGCAGCUUUGCAUCAAGUUUAAAAUACUAAAGUUUGCACGGUGUGCGGGGCUUUUCUGCCCUUCCCGUGCUUUAGCUGACCCCCAUUUCAACGUAAACUACAUUUCAAGUGCAUCUGAGUCCCUAAUAGCGUUCCUGUGAAGUUGGUCACACAGGUACAUUGUAAUCCCAUGUUUCUUCUGCGAAAACUCAUGCCAAAAAUGCUGGGCAACCUUGAGCAUUCUGCUAGAUUGAAAAUAUAACUUGUGUCCUGUUUGAGGGUAUUCAUACUCAUCAAUUAGUACGGAGAGCGUGAUAGACAAGAUGCAAAUAAGAAAUGUCUUUGGCAAAAGUCUCUAACCUACACUCGAAGAUCACUCUUCCUGAGCUACAAGAACAACAAAUUCUAGGAAGACUGAAGUCGUUGGAAACUCUUACAGGCCACAUCAGCAGGAGAACUGGCGAUCUGAAGAAAAUGUUAAGAUAAUAAAGAACCGUUUCACAAUGUAUGAUGUCACUAUGAUAUAAAGAAGGUUUUAAAGAGAGAUGAAUAUAAAGAUUCAACCCACUUUGCUAGCUUUGAAGACAAGAAGGAGAAACCAAGGAACAUGGAAGCAUCCACAAGCCAGAAACAGCUCCCAGUUUACAGCCAGCAAGACAGUGAUGACCUUGGUCCUAAAACCUCAAGCAAUCCAGUUCUUCUAAAAGUUCAACAGAUAAGUUCUCCCUCUAGAGUGAAACACAGUCUACUGCCACCUAUACCUCCCUUCUAAAGAACUAUAAAAGUGUUUAUGUUGUUUAAAUUCACCAAUCUGGGCCCAUUAUUAAGAGCAGCAAUAAGAAAAUAAUGCAAGUGCUUCAUCUAUUUGAGAUUCAGUUACUUUUUUCCGCUUAAGUCUCAACCCCAUGUAUUAAAGGUAUAUCUCGUCUUAGCCUGUGUUGCUUAGUUCACUGUGACAGUUUUCUUAUUGAAAUGCAAUUAAUGUUUUAUUUGGAGCUUGCAAGCAUGGAAUAAUACGUAAAAAUUAUUUGUAACCUGUAAAAGGCUACAGAGGUGUCAGAUACUAACAUUGUUACUUGAUUUCUCUUUAUUCUUAGACCAAAGCUCAAAAGUCAUAUUUAUAUCCUAUAUUUACCCACUGAGGUCUAAUAUACACAAAAUUCAAAAUUUAUUGCUCCCCUCAGCAGAAUUGUGGCAGGGAGAGUAAUCUUAGUAGUUUGUUUCAUUGGAUAUGUACAGCAACAAGUCCUGUGAAAAUGCGGGUAGAAUUCAGUUAUCGUCGUGAUAUAAAAUGAGAUAAAGUAAGCCCCAGAUUUGCUCCUAACCCUUGCAUUCUAAAAUUGAAAUAUUUCCUAGGAUUUGGAAGUAGUCUUUAGAAGUUUGUGAACAUCUGAACAUUAGAGUAAACAGGCCUCAGAUUCUAAGUGGAAAUAGGAGAAAUGAUGUGGGUAGAUGGAUGAAAGGGCAGGAGACAGGAUGGAAGGAAGAGGGAUGUGGAUGAGUGGAUGGCUGGAUAGCAAAUACUGGGAAUUUAUUUUAGACACUUAUAAUUUCUUAGGGUGUAACAAGGGCUCAAGAACUGUAAAGAAGAAAUCAGGUAAAGUGUUCUACAGUCUCUGUACCAGGAACUUCUCCCGACCCCAACUGUAAAGAGAGUCUGCAUAGUUAUUUCCUCCUAAAUAGCAACUGUUCCGUUCUCUGUGGCCCCUUGAUUUCUCUUAUUACCUAAAAGGAAAAAACUACUAGAAUCAUUUUAUUCUUUGAAAAUCAUCUAGAGAUACAUGUAAUUAAAACAUAAUCUCUAUUUCUGGCAUUUGGGACAGGUUGCAUUAAUAUUUAGAAUAAAAUAGAUAAUAAAAAUUAUGGGGAAAAUGUAUCUGGUAGUACAAAUGGCCCUUGAUGAGCAGAUAGUUUUUCUUGAUCAAUAAAGUGAAUUUUCAAGAUGUGCUGGGUUGAAAACAUAAACUUUACACUAUAGUGAACAUUUCUCCCUUAAAAAUAACUUAAGUACUAUUUUAUAUUUAGCAUUAAAACAGACUGGGUUUUUUCACUUUGAAAGACAUUAAAAUUUGUUUCUAAGUAGCCAACAAAUUGAACCACUUUUCCGUAGCUGAGUAGCAUUCGUGGAAUCAGCUGGACAGACCUGUUUUAACAAGGCAAAAGUCAACAUUUUGUAAAUGCCAACAUCAAAUAUAAUUUAUAAUAAAGACUGUAAGCAAUA
Arvicola amphibius (Eurasian water vole) is the source of this 2493-nucleotide long non-coding RNA. RefSeq lists it as uncharacterized. NCBI's taxonomy places the organism in Eukaryota, Metazoa, Chordata, Mammalia, Rodentia, Cricetidae. The transcript has 3 exons. The record is from RefSeq and is a predicted model, not a curated record.